RNAcentral lists this ribosomal RNA (473 nucleotides) under uncultured bacterium. Its description in RNAcentral is "bacterial SSU rRNA". It matches the Rfam family "Bacterial small subunit ribosomal RNA", at positions 1048 to 1529 of the family's 1533-position model. The record is from RNAcentral.
GUUGUCGUCAGCUCGUGCCGUGAGGUGUCGGCUUAAGUGCCAUAACGAGCGCAACCCUUAUCUUCAGUUACUAACAGGUCAUGCUGAGGACUCUGGAGAGACUGCCGUCGUAAGAUGUGAGGAAGGUGGGGAUGACGUCAAAUCAGCACGGCCCUUACGUCCGGGGCUACACACGUGUUACAAUGGGGGGUACAGAAGGCAGCUACCGGGCGACCGGAUGCCAAUCCCAAAAACCUCUCUCAGUUCGGAUCGAAGUCUGCAACCCGACUUCGUGAAGCUGGAUUCGCUAGUAAUCGCGCAUCAGCCAUGGCGCGGUGAGUACGUUCCCGGGCCUUGUACACACCGCCCGUCAAGCCAUGAAAGCCGGGGGUACCUGAAGUACGUAACCGCAAGGAGCGUCCUAGGGUAAAACUGGUAAUUGGGGCUAAGUCGUAACAAGGUAGCCGUACCGGAAGGUGCGGCUGGAUCACCUC